GUGUGCAGUGCUUUUCACAAGAAGGUGUCUUUCAUGUAAAUUAGAAUAUGAAUGACCCUUGUUGUGAGGAAUAAUGUACAG
This is a non-coding RNA of Mesocricetus auratus (golden hamster), 81 nucleotides long. The record is from Rfam. NCBI's taxonomy places the organism in Eukaryota, Metazoa, Chordata, Mammalia, Rodentia, Cricetidae.